Long non-coding RNA from Dermacentor silvarum, 2809 nucleotides. RefSeq lists it as uncharacterized. The transcript has 4 exons. Lineage: Eukaryota; Metazoa; Arthropoda; Arachnida; Ixodida; Ixodidae. The record is from RefSeq and is a predicted model, not a curated record.
GUUGCCUGAUUGUAACAAAUGUCAGGCAACGUUAAACAGCCAACCUCAACGUUGAAUGUACGUUGCCAGCUGUACGUUCAAGUGAUGUCAUAAAUAAAUGUCACAGCAACGUCCUGACACCCACGUUGUGUCAACGUUGCGUGUAAACAUCAAUUUAACGUGUAAAUGGUAUCAAUGUAGCAACGUUACAAAACAGCACGUUCCCAGAACGUUGCCGGAUGUCACCAAUAUUGACAUUAAUGUGAUGCCAGGCUGCUGUAGCAUUUCGCAUGUAUACGUUCAUGCAACUAUAAGAUAUUGUAAUUUUCAACUGAACAUUCAUCUUUAUCAUACAGUGAGGUAUGGAGAUGUAUAGUGGUUAUGCAGUAAUUAAUAUCUUCUAAGGAACACCAUGUUAAAUUAUGUUUAUUAUGCUUCUCCACAGAUAAGAUCUGCUACAAAUUAUAUCAAAUGGCAGAAGCAUUCACAUGGAAAAAAUGCUAAUUGUUGCAAUGGUUCACCUAUAGUGACAAAGUUACGCAUAAAAGUAUUCCCUUCUUCCACACCAAAUGCACAAGACUUUGUGACUGCUUGCACGCCACAUGCCCCUAAAAGUGGAAACAUUAAGCAAGGGCCAUCAUGAAUAGGCACAAGCCCCAUGAUACGAGCUGCAUAAGAAUGACGAACACAUGCACACUGCACAGUGGAUACACACAGAUCAUAUCUACUUGUUCAUAUAAAAAACAGUGCAUUUUUUCAGUUCAAGUAUAGUUUACAUCAUAGAAACGGCACUAGAGCAAAGGACUAUAAGCCACCAAUAGGGCUGCAAACACACCGUACACCAGCGCACAUUUGUUUCACACACCACACAGGACACAUGCACGCAGCAGACAUGUUUUUUUUAGGAGGAAUCUUCGCGAGCCGCACGAUAAACACAGAAGGUACGGACGACAGGAGUAAAACCCGCGCACAUUCAACACACCGACACGAAAGGAAAUGCGGACGAUACGGGUGUAACCUGCGCCACACGAGCUAUCAACCCUCGUGGAUUUUAUCCUUUCCACCUGAAACAGUUACAACGCACACGAAAACAUCGAACACUGCACAUCUGUACCUCCGAUAUCGUGUCAACAAUUCCUGAGGCAACAAUUCAUGUUCACGACAUCAGAAAGUUAUCUAAAACUAAGUGACGGCGUAGGAAAAGUAGGCAGCAUCGCUAAACGUCAUGGAUUGGCUUCGAGACAGCUUCGAGACAGCCCCAACCGUUCAAAUCAGGCCACAGCGACGGCUUGAUAAGGAUAAUCGAAGCUGAUCUCGAAGGCCAUGCUUAUGCUGGCUGCAGAUGGCGGAAGCAAUUCAAAGGUAAAAUACGUUUUAGAAUUUCUUUCUACGCCAAACUAUAGUGUAAAAUAUAGAUUGUUCUACAGUUAUUUUGUCUCGCAACAUCUAUACGUAGUUGUGUGUAACCCGGCACAAAAUUUUAGUAUGCGAGUGUACUGGUUAAUAUUUUUGUCAUCAAAGAGGCCACAACAUUCUCACAAGUAUGCAGGUGGCGCUAUUGUUUUUCCUCCGUGUUCUGUGAUGGCGGUCGUAUGUGCGGGGUGCUACGAGCGUCGCGUUUGCUUGAUCGUGUGUUUUUGUGUUUGCUGUUAUGAAGUAGGUCGCAGUUAGCGUGCACAGAAGUGCCUGAAGAUACCUUGUGUCACGCUGCAAACUCGCCGUAUGCGUGGCGCGCCAGGCAAAUGUGGCCCAACGAUUUUAUGCCGUGGAGUGCGGUCUCUUUGUUCUCGUUCUGGAAAGUUGGGUGGACGUCGCAAAGAAUGUAUGUUAGCGCGCCUCAGCUCGUCCACUACGCAGCGGCAUGUAUGCGAGGAGUAACAUCGUCGACGCAGCACCGGCAACUUGGAGAGUGCUUCGCGACCGCGUCGUACCAUUCAAAAGUGGCGAGGCUGUGACCCAUAACAGUGCCUACAUAACGGAGGAGCCACCAGACCCCUUGGCUAUGCCUGCCGUAGUGCAACGUAUAAUCUGGAUGGUCGGGUCAGGUACACCUAGGAAAUGUUGUAUACAUUGGCAACGAUAACUGGGGCCUGUUCCAGUGCCAUCGCCGGGAUUCCCUGUUCUGCAAAGAACUGACAUAACUGAUGUGGGGAGCCCUGGCGCUCGGUGUAGGAGUAUCACAGGGGCUCCUUGUCGAUGCUUGAAGGACGGCAAUGCUGUUGAGAAGCCGACAUUGAGCCCCGAUAAAUUGGAAGCUGUGGGUAGUUACCGCAUUAUUGACUUGGAAACCAGUGAGGUCUGGAUGCAAGUGAAGCUACCGAGGGAGGCAUGUGUGCAUCACUUGUGCUGCUGGCCAUCCUCUGCAAAAGUGAUGGCUGGCAGUCAGUGCUUGGAUGACUUUCUGUUACUCUACGCCUUGGGCUGUGUUGACUACUUCACACUUGCUGCCAUGUCUGCAAGCUUAGGCAAAAAGACCGGCUGGAUGCUUGGCAGGAGAUAGUAUCCAACCGCAGUGUUACUGUGUUGUGUUGUACAUUACAAAGUGAUGGAGGACAGUAUUUGUGCUGUUAUUAAGAAGUAUAAAUUGUGUUCUGCCAUUGAAAUAAGGGAACUCGACACAAAGCAAAAGAUUUCGAAGUCUGACCUACAUGGGAAAGCAAAAUAUAUUGUGUUAUAGUUGUAGCUGUUAGUAGAGUCUUAAUAUGCGAUAGAAGACCUUGGUGUUUAAUAGAAAAUAUAUUUAAGUGUGUUAUCAGUGUGUUAUCAGUGUUUAAGUUACUGUUAUGUGUCAUUUGUUUGCCAGGAUGAUGUAAGCAGACAGCAAAUAAAU